AACAUAGCCUUUAGCCUAACAAGUAUUAAAGGUCCCGCCUGCCCAGUGAUAAUUUUAACGGCCGCGGUAUUCUAACCGUGCAAAGGUAGCGUAAUCACUUGUCUUCUAAAUAAAGACUAGUAUGAACGGCUAAAUGAGGACAAGCCUGUCUCUUAUAACUAAUCAGUGAAACUAAUCUUCCAGUACAAAAGCUGGAAUAUAAACAUAAGACGAGAAGACCCUGUGGAGCUUUAAACCAACCACUACCCCUCAACCUAGUGCGCGGUUUUAAGUUGGGGCGACUUUGGAACAAAGCAAAACUUCCAAGAACAGAACCACACAUUCUAACCAAGGCCAACAAGCCAAAACACAUGACCCAGUAAUACUGAUCAACGAACCAAGUUACCCCAGGGAUAACAGCGCUAUCUUCUUCAAGAGUCCAUAUCGACAAGAAGGUUUACGACCUCGAUGUUGGAUCAGGACACCCAAAUGGUGCAGCCGCUAUUAAAGGUUCGUUUGUUCAACGAUUAAUGUCCUACGUGAUCUGAGUUCAGACCGGAGUAAUCC
This 546-nucleotide ribosomal RNA is filed under the name Scelotes montispectus. Its description in RNAcentral is "partial 16S ribosomal RNA". It matches the Rfam family "Bacterial large subunit ribosomal RNA", at positions 1812 to 2627 of the family's 2925-position model. The record is from RNAcentral. Lineage: Eukaryota; Metazoa; Chordata; Lepidosauria; Squamata; Scincidae.